CUCGUCUUCUGGCUCCUUCUCGAAAAGCCGAAAUCCAGUCUGGAACCAAGGAUAGGUCCUUCUGAUCACCACUUGCCACUGAGCAGCCGACCUCUUGGUACAGUGCCUGAAGAACAUCAAAUAUUCCUCAAGAGAGCGCUUGGGCACUUCUGCCAACAUCAGGGGAAGGGCCAGAACUUGGUCUUCAGGCAGAACUAUGUCUGGAAAUCUUAACUCAGGGAAAUAUACCUGCAGCCAAAUCUGGAUCAUCCAGAAUGCACCAGGAGCAGACAGGUUCAAUGGAUUCUCAAGGGUGGCGGUGUAUAGAUUCUUGAAAAGAUGAGCCAGAACUGUUGGUCCAAGCCCCACAUCAGUAUGAUUAUGAAGCGCUUCCACCAGAUGCCUGUACUCAAGCAGAACUGCUGAAGACCGAUUGGGGAAGACAAAACGAUUCAGCCAAUAUAGAAGGAACAACAUAUGUUGCUGGUCCUUGUCCUUCUCAGUACUGAACCUCUUCAAAUAAUUGGAAAAGGAGCAGUUCUGGUUGAUCGUGGCUGGAGAGACAGUAAAAGGAAUAGCCACUUUCUCCUGAUUCUUUCGCCUGUGAUAAUCUCCAACAGCAUCAACAGGUCUGCCAUGGG
RNAcentral lists this long non-coding RNA (620 nucleotides) under Prunus dulcis (almond). Its description in RNAcentral is "sRNA ncRNA". Lineage: Eukaryota; Viridiplantae; Streptophyta; Magnoliopsida; Rosales; Rosaceae. The record is from RNAcentral.